Molecule: ribosomal RNA, 406 nt
Filed under: uncultured bacterium
Lineage: Bacteria
Description: partial 16S ribosomal RNA
Rfam family: Bacterial small subunit ribosomal RNA
Source: RNAcentral
AUUGAACGCUGGCGGCAGGCCUAACACAUGCAUGUCGAACGAGUGGCGGACGGGUGAGUAAUGUCUGUGAAACUGCCUGAUGGAGGGGGAUAACUACUGGAAACGGUAGCUAAUACCGCAUACCAUCAGAUGUGCCCAUAUGGGCUUAGCUAGUGGGUGGGGUAACGGCUCACCAGGGCGACGAUCCCUAGCUGGUCUGAGAGGAUGACCAGCCAAACUGGAAAUGAGACACGGUCAAUACUCCUACGGGAGGCCGCAGUGGGGAAUAUUGCACAAGGGGCGAAAGCCUGAUGCAGCCAUGCCGCGUGUAUGAAGAAGGCCUGCGGGUUGUAAAGUACUUUCAGCGGGGAGGCGUUACCCGCAGAAGAAGCACCGGCUAACUCCGUGCCAGCCGCCGCGGUAAUAC